This 1109-nucleotide long non-coding RNA is filed under the name Ficedula albicollis (Collared flycatcher). RNAcentral's name for it is "lncRNA (ENSFALG00000026488.1)". The record is from RNAcentral. Lineage: Eukaryota; Metazoa; Chordata; Aves; Passeriformes; Muscicapidae.
GCCAGCCUUGCACCAGGAGAGGGGGCCCUUCAGCCGGCUGGAGUCGGCAGGGAAGGAGAAAAUAGAGAAAAGGGGAAUAAAAUGCAGCAGAGGAGAAGCUGAGGGCGAAGUCGCGGAGUGAGGGAUGGAAGAUCUCCUGCCCUAUGGCUCUGCAGCUUUCCCGCAUCCCCGGCUGCUCGGCUGGAGCUGGGAGCUCCCGGGGAUUCCGGCAGCGCGGGCGGGAUGAGAAGGGUGGGCAGGGAAAUUCCUGCCUGGGAUGUACGAGACAGCGCGGGAUUCGCAGGCGGCGGCUGGGAGCAACAGAGGAAAGCCGGCGUGAGCAGCUCCCGGCUCACUCCAGCCUGGAGAAUUCCCCUUCCAGCUGGAAAAGCCCCGCAGGGAGCCGGGUUUGGCCGGUUCUGUCCCCGCAGGGCUCCGGGGGAUGCGGGAUGCUCUGCAGGGGGAUCGGUCUCCGACAGAUCCCACCCACCCCAGAUGUUCCUCCCGGCAAAAAAAUGUCCCGUCAGCGCUGGAACCGGCGCUCCCCGGUGCCACCGGCGCUGGCGGAGCUGUCACAGGUGCCACCGGUGCCACCGGAGGGCGGUCACGUCCCGGGUGCCGGCAGAAAGGGACAACAGCGCUUCGGUGAAUUAGGAUCCUGCUCCCCCAUCCCAGUUCUGCCCCUCGAGGGGGCCUCUCCCACCAGGACAGCCCCACACCCCCUCGGGUGUGGAGAGCAGCCUCAUCUCAGGGCUCUCCCGGGCAGCCCUCGCUCCCGGGACGGUUUUCAUUUUGUUAAUUUAAUUUUUUUAAUUGAAGGGGAGCGGGCUGGGGACACUGGCUCUCGGCAGGUGGCUUUUCACCUCCGGGGUAGGACCCCCUCCUCUGCCUGUGUCCCCCCCACCCUGACAGCACCUACCCUGCUGGGGUCCAGGGAGAUGAUUUUAGGGGUGCAGGAGUGGGGCAGACCGCUGGGAUCUCUUGUUAUGGGGACAUGAGAGCUUGUCCCUCUGUGUGACCCCACUUCUCACUGCUGGGCUGCCACCAGGGCUGGCCUUGGGGACACCCAGGGGACAGCCAGCCCUGGGGACACCCAGGGGACAGCCAUCCUGCCGCCAAGGCAGAGUUUG